GUUGAAUUAUUGCCAUAUGUGUUGAAGAAGAAGGUGUAGAAAUGUACAACUGACAGACCAAAAAGCAAGAAAGGGGAAAAACAAAAAAACAAUUAAUUGUUUGGUUUGAGACAGAGCGCUUCAGUCAAUCGGGCAAAAAUGGGCAAACACCGAAACGUUAAACAGGACAAAAUUUUUAUCAAUUUUAUGGAUAAACAUCACGAUAUUGCCAGGGGCUAUGUAAAAGGUGAUAAGGUUGUUGUUGAUUCUCUAUGGACGGAAUUGACAGCUUUGCUGAAUAGUUCAGGUCCACCAAGUAAAACCUGUAAAGAAUGGAAGAAAGUUUGGUCAGAUUGGAAAGGAAAUGUUAAGGCGAAGAUGUGUCAUAAUAAAAAGGACUUGCGAGGAACUGGUGGUGGUGAUAUCAAUCAAUAUGUUUCAGUGAACACGAGAACAGUUUAAUCAGAAUUUGAAAUGCACCAGUAGCCAAAAACCUAAGCGUUGUUGCAAGCUGGAUAAUAGCCGGUAUAUUGGAACGUUUGAGGUGGGGAGAAAUUUUUUCCAAAACUAAAACAAAAGCUUCUUUAUUUAGCCGAUAAUAUGUUAUAAAUCUGUAGAAAUAAAUUAUUAUUAAAAUAAAUUUGAAAAUAACUCAUUGCUGGUGGAUCCUUACUCUGCAUUUGAGUGAGAUAAAGGA
Molecule: long non-coding RNA, 676 nt
Organism: Musca domestica (house fly)
Lineage: Eukaryota; Metazoa; Arthropoda; Insecta; Diptera; Muscidae
Exons: 2
Source: RefSeq, a predicted model, not a curated record